RNAcentral lists this unclassified non-coding RNA (1730 nucleotides) under Hevea brasiliensis (rubber tree). The record is from RNAcentral. Lineage: Eukaryota; Viridiplantae; Streptophyta; Magnoliopsida; Malpighiales; Euphorbiaceae.
AAAAAAAAAAAAAAAAAAGAAACACCCUAAAAUUUCACACUUUGACUCUUAGGGUUCAAUUUUUGAUAGAAUGGUAGAGCUUUAAUCCAUUAGCAUUUUAAGGAUGGAUGCUCUAACCCCGUUGAUCAUGCUGAUAUGGCAAUGUGCAAUCAAUAUAAUAAAAUUAUUUUUUAUUCAUUAAAAAAUGUGAAUUUAAUUGGUUUGUAUUUUGUUAAUUUUCAUAUUAUUUGUGGGACACAAAACAAUUUUUUUUUAAAUAUUAUUGUUUAGAAUUGCACUUCCACGUUAACAUAACUAACGGCAUUAUGGUAUUUGUGCUUAAAGUGCCAACAGAAUAAAAAGCUAAGGGUAUCAUUUUGUCAAAAAUUAAACUAUGGGUCUAAAGUGUCAAAGUGUGAAAUCUUAAGGUACCUUUUCAUACUUUUAGAUUAUACUAAACUGCCUGCUUUCAGAUUUAGUAUUUCUCUUGUAUCCUUUGUUUUAUAUUAAACUGCCUAUUACAUUUUUCAUGUUUAUGGAGUACUUCACAACUACAGAUUUUUCUUAAACAAUGUUAGACCUUAAGCCCUAAAUGCAUGUUGUUGCUGCAAUUUGAAAUUCUCAAUCAUACAUAAAAUAAGAUAUUUGAACUUAUCAAGAGUCAAGACUAACUAGUAACUACAAGCAUUUACCUAUUUAAUGACCAUCUUAUAUGCAUGACAUUGCCAUACAGUCGAGGAAGAUUCAAUUUAAGAAUUAUGUUGAUUCAAUUUUUCAUUGUAAAAUUAAGAAAUUUAUAUUUCUAAUAUUUAGGAAUAUUUAAAGAGUUCUGUUCGGUUUAGUAUUUUCCUAGUUAGUGUUGGUUUUAUAUUCCUAGUUAACAUUGGUUUAGUAUUUUCUUAUUUUGGGACUCCUAAUCUUUGUACUAGUAGGACUAGUUGUUAGACUAUAAAUACCAAUGUAAUCUAGGUAUUUUGAUAGAGAGUUCAUUAUUAUUAAUAUUGACAAUUGAAUUGAUAAUUAAUAAGAAUUUGAGAAUUUUGUUCCUUUCCCCUUUGUACCAUUGGUUCUACAUCACAUUUUCUAUGCAUUUUGACCAAGUGCAGACCAUCAAAAGAGUUGUGUAGGGUAAUUAUGAUUUUUUUUUUUUUUUUUGAGCAGGUGUAGGAUAAUUAUGAUUGUUUAUGAGAAUUAUGUCUGCUUCACUUAAAAGACAUUUUAUUUGCUGCAGCUCCUGAGGAAGAGUGGAACAAGCUUUUAAUUAAUGGCAUGACAAUUGGCAAGGGAGAAAUUUCUCCUGAUGAAUUAUAUGCUGUCGUUAAGAAAAGAAUUGAGCGGAUGUUGAUCAGAACAGAGGGAGGUUCUUACCAGCAGCGUGUUCUUAAUGAAUAUCUCAAGGGCAUUGAAUCAAGAGCAGAGGAGAUUGUCCAAAUGCUUCAGGGCAAGCCAUAAGAUUAAUAGAAUCAAAAACAGAUUCCAUUAAUGCUGUAGAAAAUCUGCAAAGAAGUUUCUCAUUGGAAUCAGAGAAGAAAGAAAAGAAGAGCAUUUGAGAGGAAAGAAGCUAUAGAUUAUGUGCAGCAUGCUUAUUGUAUUUCAAAAUGUCAGGUAAUUAUCUUCCAUAGCCCCAAGAUAUCUUCUUUUUUUUUCCCCUUUUCUUUUCAAUUUAUUUGUUCGACGGAAAACCCAAAUGAAAACAAAAGCAAAUUCAUAGAGAUCUAUGUAUAUACCUUCUUGUCAAUAAAAUCAGCCCA